UGUAAUUUGUAGAGGAUGCUUUUGGUGAGGUGCCNCCCGAGUUCCCUGGAACGGGACGCCACAGAGGGUGAGAGCCCCGUCUGGCUGGCCACCGAGCCUCUGUAAAGCUCCUUCGACGAGUCGAGUAGUUUGGGAAUGCUGCUCAAAAUGGGAGGUAUAUGUCUUCUAAAGCUAAAUAUUGGCCAGAGACCGAUAGCGCACAAGUAGAGUGAUCGAAAGAUGAAAAGCACCUUGAAAAGAGGGUUAAACAGUACGUGAAAUUGUUGAAAGGGAAGCGCUUGUGACCAGACUUGGGCGCGGCGAAUCAUCCGGGGUUCUCUCCGGUGCACUUCCCCGUGUUCAGGCCAGCAUCAGUUCGGCGCGGGGGAAAAAGGCUUCGGGAACGUGGCUGCUCCGGCAGUGUUAUAGCCCGUUGCAUAAUACCCUGCGCUGGACUGAGGACCGCGCAUCUGCAAGGAUGCUGGCGUAAUGGUCACCAGCGACCCGUC
This 488-nucleotide ribosomal RNA is filed under the name soil fungal sp. DM2-031. Its description in RNAcentral is "eukaryotic LSU rRNA". It matches the Rfam family "Eukaryotic large subunit ribosomal RNA", at positions 144 to 653 of the family's 3401-position model. Lineage: Eukaryota; Fungi. The record is from RNAcentral.